CAGUAGCCACGGUAAUACAGAGGUUGCGAGCGUUAAUCGGAUUUACUGGGCGUAAAGCGUGCGUAGGCGGCUUUUUAAGUCGGAUGUGAAAUCCCUGAGCUUAACUUAGGAAUUGCAUUCGAUACUGGGAAGCUAGAGUAUGGGAGAGGAUGGUAGAAUUCCAGGUGUAGCGGUGAAAUGCGUAGAGAUCUGGAGGAAUACCGAUGGCGAAGGCAGCCAUCUGGCCUAAUACUGACGCUGAGGUACGAAAGCAUGGGGAGCAAACAGGAUUAGAUACCCGUGUAGUCCCUGUCUCUUAUAC
RNAcentral lists this ribosomal RNA (301 nucleotides) under uncultured bacterium. RNAcentral's name for it is "partial 16S ribosomal RNA". It matches the Rfam family "Bacterial small subunit ribosomal RNA", at positions 509 to 807 of the family's 1533-position model. The record is from RNAcentral.